UGUGGAGGAAAAGAAUCAAGCCAUCUGUGCUGUUCAUAUUUAUGUGAAUGUUGUACAUUUGCAUAGGUGCUGGUAAGGCACAGUUUUCUCUCUGUGUUGUCUGUGCAGCCAGCUGUGUGCAUGCUGGAUGUGUGUAUGUGUGACAGGCUGUUCAUGUAGCAGGCUGUGAGUGUGGUGUGAGUGUGUGUGUUCUUAUUGGGGAUUUUGUGCUGAGCCUUGUUGCCAGCUGGACUCUGGAAACAGGGAGCACAGCGGACUCAUCUCCAUCAGGCUACCCAGUCAAGCAACCUCUAACAUGGAACAGGAAUCUACAAAUCGACCUCAUGUGUAAUACUGCUUUUCCAGACAUGGUUGGCAACAUCUCCUCCCUAAAACAAGAACAUUCCCAUAAUGAAGCAGCAGCAGCUGGUGGAACUUGGAGAGGCUUGUUAUAAUUUGGCAUUUUCCUCCAAGAAGCAUCCAGGUGCCUUUUUUCCAAGUUCUUGCCCUCCCAUUCUUCAUUUGGAUAGACAUUAUGGAAUAAGUAUUAAAAAGACAUGAGUUUAAAAAUAAAAUAAAAAUUAUGGUUUGUA
Long non-coding RNA from Corvus hawaiiensis (hawaiian crow), 572 nucleotides. RefSeq lists it as uncharacterized. Lineage: Eukaryota; Metazoa; Chordata; Aves; Passeriformes; Corvidae. The transcript has 2 exons. The record is from RefSeq and is a predicted model, not a curated record.